CGAGUGGCGAACGGGUGAGUAAUAUAUCGGAACGUGCCCAUUAGAGGGGGAUAGCCCGGCGAAAGCCGGAUUAAUACCGCAUACGACCUGAGGGUGAAAGCGGGGGAUCGCAAGACCUCGCGCUAUUGGAGCGGCCGAUAUCAGAUUAGCUAGUUGGUGGGGUAAAGGCCUACCAAGGCAACGAUCUGUAGUUGGUCUGAGAGGACGACCAGCCACACUGGGACUGAGACACGGCCCAG
RNAcentral lists this ribosomal RNA (239 nucleotides) under uncultured Burkholderiales bacterium. RNAcentral's name for it is "partial 16S ribosomal RNA". It matches the Rfam family "Bacterial small subunit ribosomal RNA", at positions 92 to 334 of the family's 1533-position model. Lineage: Bacteria; Pseudomonadati; Pseudomonadota; Betaproteobacteria; Burkholderiales. The record is from RNAcentral.